AAUACGGAGGGUGCAAGCGUUUAAUCGGAAUUUAUCUGGGCGUAAAAGCGCACGCCAGGCGGGUUUGGUUAAGUCAGAUGUGAAAAUCCCCCGGGCUCCACCCUGGGAAACUGCAUCCUGAUACUGGCAAGCUUGAGUCUCGUAGAGGGGGGGUAGAAUUCCCAGGUGUAGCGGUGAAAUGCGUAGAGAUCUGGAGGAAUACCGGUGGCGAAGGCGGCCCCCCUGGACGAAGACUGACGCUCAGGUGCGAAAGCGUGGGGAGCAAACAGGAUUAGAUACCCUGGUAGUCCACGCCGUAAACGAUGUCGACUUGGAGGUUGUGCCCUUGAGGCGUGGCUUCCGGAGCUAACGCGUUAAGUCGACCGCCUGGGGAGUACGGCCGCAAGGUUAAAACUCAAAUGAAUUGACGGGGGCCCGCACAAGCGGUGGAGCAUGUGGUUUAAUUCGAUGCAACGCGAAGAACCUUACCUGGUCUUGACAUCCACGGAAGUUUUCAGAGAUGAGAAUGUGCCUUCGGGAACCGUGAGACAGGUGCUGCAUGGCUGUCGUCAGCUCGUGUUGUGAAAUGUUGGGUUAAGUCCCGCAACGAGCGCAACCCUUAUCCUUUGUUGCCAGCGGUCCGGCCGGGAACUCAAAGGAGACUGCCAGUGAUAAACUGGAGGAAGGUGGGGAUGACGUCAAGUCAUCAUGGCCCUUACGACCAGGGCUACACACGUGCUACAAUGGCGCAUACAAAGAGAAGCGACCUCGCGAGAGCAAGCGGACCUCAUAAAGUGCGUCGUAGUCCGGAUUGGAGUCUGCAACUCGACUCCAUGAAGUCGGAAUCGCUAGUAAUCGUGGAUCAGAAUGCCACGGUGAAUACGUUCCCGGGCCUUGUACACACCGCCCGUCACACCAUGGGAGUGGGUUGCAAAAGAAGUAGGUAGCUUAACCUUCGGGAGGGCGCUU
RNAcentral lists this ribosomal RNA (948 nucleotides) under Escherichia coli. Its description in RNAcentral is "bacterial SSU rRNA". It matches the Rfam family "Bacterial small subunit ribosomal RNA", at positions 522 to 1455 of the family's 1533-position model. Lineage: Bacteria; Pseudomonadati; Pseudomonadota; Gammaproteobacteria; Enterobacterales; Enterobacteriaceae. The record is from RNAcentral.